AUGAUCUCCAAAAACAACCCUCACAAUAAGUAUCAUCAUUUUAAUAUCAGUGUAGAAGCUACCAGGAUAAUCCCUGGUAUUGAAGGGUAAUUCCGAUCCUCCAGGUUUGCUGAGCUCCGUGUGGCUUUGAAAAGGAUGGAAGAGGAGGAACUGCAGAAAGUGGAGGUGAGCAGUGGACUGCUGAGAUUGGAUGGCAUGGAGGAGAACCUGAGGAAAAUGAAUGAACUGCUGGAGAGAGGAGCGAAGAGGGAGAAACUUCUGCGGGCCGCUGCGGAGUGCAACGAAUCUGUCCUCUUUCUGCGCUGGUGGGGCCUGAAGUCGGUGAUGUCAGGCCAUACUGUCACCCUGAGAGGGGACAACUUGGCCUCCCCCUCCAGGAGUUUCCCCCGGCUGUGCCUGAAGAAGAGCAGAAUCCAGUACAGGAACCCAGACAGCCUGGAAGCCCUGUUCAGACCAGCUAUGGAGAAGAGCCUGAAAAGUUGCAUUGUCCCCAGGCUGGCUCCCUGGGAGCCCCCCCUGUUUGGGAAUGUAUGGGACAAUAUACGUUUGUUUUUUAGACGAAACCAAGAGAGGUAAUUUGCAUUUGGUAAGUCUUUAGUCGUUCAAUAUGCAUCUAUAACAACAUAUGUGAAAUGCGAGAAGUGUAAUUUUAUAUCUUCAUGUAGUACAAGUAGCUGUUAUUUAUGUAAUGGUGUAAUUACAUUAAGUAGGUAGGACAAACACCGCCUAACUAGGAUAGACUGUUAUCGACACCUACUGUAUGUAUCUUGACAAAUUGACCAGUCAGGAAACGUUUAGACUGAUAUGUACAGUGGGGAGAACAAGUAUUUGAUACACUGCCGAUUUUGCAGGUUUUCACACUGACAAAGCAUGUAGAAGUCUGUAAAUGUUAUCAUAGGUACUCUUCAACUGUGAGUGACGGAAUCUAAAACAAAAAUCCAGAAAAUCACACUGUAAGAUUUUAAAGUAAUCAAUUAGCAUUUUAUUGCAUGACAUAAGUAUUUGAUACAUCAGAAAAGCAGAAGUUAAUAUUUGAUACAGAAACCUUUGUUUGCAAUUACAGAUUGUCUCUCACAGAUGAGGUGUACCUAUGAUAAAAAAUUACAGACCUCUACAUGUUUUGUAAGUAGGAAAACCUGCAAAAUCGGCAGUGUAUCAAAUACUUGUUCUCCCCACUGUAUCAUGGAAUUUAUAAGAGUUUAAAAAUCAGGUCUGCUACAGUAUGACAGCCUUCAUACACAGCUCAGAUGAUGGAAAGGUCAGAGAAGUAACUUAAAGGCAAAUAAACAUGACCAAAGUUCACAAUGUCUUUAGAGUGACCAAGCCAAUGUGUGGCACAUAUAUUUAGAGUAGGCUCACAAUUCUUUUCAACUCAGUGGCCUAUGUUUAAACCCCAUGUAGGCCCAGUAAAAUAGAGAGACAAGGACUAAGAACAGAUUCUUGGCCACACAAAAAAGUUAAUUGAGGCAGUAGCAGCUAAGUCAGCCAGCAGUUUUAAUUAGCUGAACUCAGUCCAUAAAUAUCGAGCACAAGCCUUAAUGUUCUAAACUGAAUGUUUAGAAGAACAAGAAGUACAAGCAGAGCCAGAGACAGUAAGGUAAAUGAGACAGGUGAACAAGACAUCCAGUUGAGCACUCUGGUCUACUUUUUCCCCCUAAGCUGAAUAGAGUCUCGUUCUGAUGGCCCUGCCCAAUAUUUCAGUAGAUUUAUGCUGAUGGACAGUUUGUGCUGUGUACUACUACAGUAAUGUUUUCCUACCUUUAUAUAAAGCUAUGCAUCACAAUCAUGACAUUUUUUGAGAAUUUUGUAGUUAAGUCAAUCUAAAUUUCGAUCACCACUUUAUGUCCUGGUCAUUUGGACCAGUAGCUCCAAACUCAACCACUUUGUUUCCCGGUCAUUUGGACUAGUAGUUCCAAACACAACCACUUUGUUUCCAGGUCAUUUGGAUUAGUAUCUCCAAACCAGCCUGGUAAUAUAUACCCACUUAAGGGGCAUGUCUACAAUACCCUAAAACCAGUCUGGUAAUAUAGAACCCCUGAUGGGCAUGUAUACACUACCCUAUAACCAGCCUGGUAAUAAAGGUCUCCCUGAUAGGGCAUGUCUUCACUAACCUAAAACCAGCCUGGUAAUAAAGUCCCCCUGAAGUCACAUGCAAGCUCCUAUUGUAAAGAUUACAACCUAAUGGGAUCGUUCCAGUCCUUACUUGGUGUUUCCUGUUCUGUUUAGUUAAUUAGAUUAAUUACAUUCACCUGUGGUUCCACUCAUCUGUUUUGUGGUAGCCCAUCAGUAUGUGUAUUUAGUUCAGUCCUUUUCUCCCAGUCCUGGUGGGUAUUUCAUCAAGGCAGAUAAAGGAAAAGCUUGUUUAAGUGAGAGUCCCUCCUCAGUAACCUAGAUAACUUAUACCUCUGAACUAUGAUUGCCACCUUCAUUGUGGAAAAAUAAGGGACACCUUGCCAACAGCCCCAAGCACAGGGGACACAAAAGCAGGGGGUCUGGGGGUCCUCCCCGGUGAGAUUUUGUGUGUCAGACACUUAAUUUCCUGCAUUGUGUAUUUUUAUGCACCAAUUUGUGCUUUGUUUGCAUCAAUUUCAAAGUGCUCUGCUAUUCUCAACAUGAAGGUAAUGGAAAUAGAGUCAAUAGGAGUAAAGAACAGUUGCAUCAAUUAUAUUAAGGUUAAAAACAUUAGAUCAUAGGCAGGAAGUUUUUCAAAAUAAAAAAAUAAUUUGGUAUAUUUUGAAGAAGCAAGAACAGACCCUCCAGGAAGGGUGGGGUAGCCUAGCCUUUUCUGUUGCUGCUCCCAUGCUCUGGAAUAGUCAAUACAUUUAAAACUGUCAUUCCACCACUGAACAUUUUAAAUACAAUUUAAAGACCCCUCUUUUUCUCUUGCUUUUAGUUCAGUCUGAGGUUGUUCUUUGGUUUUUGUUAAAUCCACUCUUUACUUGUUUUUAACAUCCUCUUACUGUGUUUUAAUCAGUUGUUGGUUUUAUUCAAUUUCUCAUAACGUCUUAUCAUAUUACUUUAAUUAGAUUUUAUCAUUUUAGUUGUCUUGAGUGUUCUCCAUUUUAGUCUUGCCCUUUAUGUAUUAUAUGUACUGUUGUAUUAUAUUAUGUAUUGACUUUUAUGUAUCCUUUAAUCACGUAUACAGACCCGGCGGCAAGGCUUUGCCCCCAAAAAAUGGUUUGGGUAAUGCUUCCCAAUACUGUACUUCACUAAUUACUGUUGGGAAUAUAGGCUAGCUCUCUUGCCUUCCUCUGCAAAUGGAAUUGAAGAUGUGCUUUAAAUGAUGUGAUCACUAAGCUACAAAGAAUGUGUAAGUACUGUAAAUGUAGUUACUAAAAACGUCAAAUUUGAUUGACAUCUGUGUAUUUUGCUAGUAUAUAGCUUCUGCAAGCCAUGCAUGCAAAAAUUAUUAGCUUUUUGUCCCUUGUGCUGAAGUUACUAUUCUAUGUUGGUUAAGUAGGAAACACAUGCCUGUCCAUGGAAAUCAAAAGCCCGUCCAACAUGCUUGUUCUAGCAUCCUGCAUGUAUGGGGUAAUUUUUGGAAUGUGAUAUUGCAUUCGGAAGAGCUGGAGGAAGUGUCUGGGGAGAGGGAAGUCUGGGCAUCUCUACUUAGACUGCUGCCCCCGCGACCCGGCCCCGGAUGAAGCGGAACAAGAUGGAUGGAUGGAUAUUGCACAUUCCAAUAUCCAAAGGCAAAAAUCUAUGUAUAACAUUUAUUACAAUUUCAAUUAAAUGUUGAUGACUAUUUUUAAAUGUUUUGUUAACUGUGCGGAAGUAUUAAUUUAAAAACAUUGAAUCAGUAAUAUUGAGCAAUUCAUUCAAUAUCAGUGCCAAUUGACUAUUAUACUAUAGUCUGUUAUACUACAGGACUGUUAUAUUAGAUGUUAAUAUAUGCUUAGUAAAAUGUCUAUUAAAC
This is a long non-coding RNA of Esox lucius (northern pike), 3916 nucleotides long. The record is from Ensembl. Lineage: Eukaryota; Metazoa; Chordata; Actinopteri; Esociformes; Esocidae.